Molecule: ribosomal RNA, 637 nt
Filed under: Bradyrhizobium sp.
Lineage: Bacteria; Pseudomonadati; Pseudomonadota; Alphaproteobacteria; Hyphomicrobiales; Nitrobacteraceae
Description: bacterial SSU rRNA
Rfam family: Bacterial small subunit ribosomal RNA
Source: RNAcentral
GCGUAGCAAUACGUCAGCGGCAGACGGGUGAGUAACGCGUGGGAACGUACCUUUUGGUUCGGAACAACACAGGGAAACUUGUGCUAAUACCGGAUAAGCCCUUACGGGGAAAGAUUUAUCGCCGAAAGAUCGGCCCGCGUCUGAUUAGCUAGUUGGUGAGGUAACGGCUCACCAAGGCGACGAUCAGUAGCUGGUCUGAGAGGAUGAUCAGCCACAUUGGGACUGAGACACGGCCCAAACUCCUACGGGAGGCAGCAGUGGGGAAUAUUGGACAAUGGGCGCAAGCCUGAUCCAGCCAUGCCGCGUGAGUGAUGAAGGCCCUAGGGUUGUAAAGCUCUUUUGUGCGGGAAGAUAAUGACGGUACCGCAAGAAUAAGCCCCGGCUAACUUCGUGCCAGCAGCCGCGGUAAUACGAAGGGGGCUAGCGUUGCUCGGAAUCACUGGGCGUAAAGGGUGCGUAGGCGGGUCUUUAAGUCAGGGGUGAAAUCCUGGAGCUCAACUCCAGAACUGCCUUUGAUACUGAGGAUCUUGAGUUCGGGAGAGGUGAGUGGAACUGCGAGUGUAGAGGUGAAAUUCGUAGAUAUUCGCAAGAACACCAGUGGCGAAGGCGGCUCACUGGCCCGAUACUGACGCUGAGC